RNAcentral lists this ribosomal RNA (604 nucleotides) under Micrometula hyalostriata. Its description in RNAcentral is "bacterial SSU rRNA". It matches the Rfam family "Eukaryotic small subunit ribosomal RNA", at positions 1220 to 1547 of the family's 1831-position model. The record is from RNAcentral. Lineage: Eukaryota; Foraminifera; Allogromiidae.
GGGUCCGGACACACUGAGGAUUGACAGGCAAAAGAUACAAGUUUUCUUUGUGAGAGCUUGCAUUGUAAAAUAUGCGAGUCCUUUCAUGAUUAUGUGAUAGGUGGUGCAUGGCCGUUCUUAGUUCGUGGAGUGAUCUGUCUGCUUAAUUGCGUUUCACAACGAUUUAAAAUGCUAUGUUUUCUGUGUUUGCUGUUCGGUUUUGCUCUUACGGGAGUUUUAACUUUGAACGCACACGGCGUAGCUUAAAACAAUCGGAAAGCAACGAACGUGACCGCAACCUCUUGUUGCCUUUAUUUUUAAAAGCGUGGAAAAUUUUAUUUUCCUACGCUUGAAAAAGGCUUUAAAACUAGAGGGACCGCUGUUCUAUUCUCUUAAACCAGAGGAAGAUUGCGGCAAUAACAGGUCUGUGAUGCCCUCAGAUGUUCCGGGCUGCACACGUGCUACAAUGAUUGUUGCAGUGAGCAUCUAUUUUCAAACGCUACCGUUGCGGAUUUUGUGAGAAGGGGGCUUGUUUUAAAGCUUUCGGGUGGAGAAGCAGGUUCUUUUUUUUCACAAUUUAUUCCGCGUUACGUGUCAGCUAAACCUGCUUCGAAAGCAAGUAGGU